This 70-nucleotide small RNA is filed under the name Mytilus galloprovincialis (Mediterranean mussel). Lineage: Eukaryota; Metazoa; Mollusca; Bivalvia; Mytilida; Mytilidae. The record is from RNAcentral.
CUCAUCACUUGCUCCUCGAAUUUUUAUAUGUCGCCGUGUGACAUAUAAAAAUCGAGGAGCAAGUGAUGAG